UGGGGAAUAUUGGACAAUGGGCGAAAGCCUGAUCCAGCCAUGCCGCGUGUGUGAAGAAGGUCUUCGGAUUGUAAAGCACUUUAAGUUGGGAGGAAGGGCAGUAAAUUAAUACUUUGCUGUUUUGACGUUACCGACAGAAUAAGCACCGGCUAACUCUGUGCCAGCAGCCGCGGUAAUACAGAGGGUGCAAGCGUUAAUCGGAAUUACUGGGCGUAAAGCGCGCGUAGGUGGUUCGUUAAGUUGGAUGUGAAAUCCCCGGGCUCAACCUGGGAACUGCAUUCAAAACUGACGAGCUAGAGUAUGGUAGAGGGUGGUGGAAUUUCCUGUGUAGCGGUGAAAUGCGUAGAUAUAGGAAGGAACACCAGUGGCGAAGGCGACCACCUGGACUGAUACUGACACUGAGGUGCGAAAGCGUGGGGAGCAAAAGCAGGAUUAGAUACCCUGGUAGUCCACGCCGUAAAACGAUGUCAACUAGCCGUUGGGAGCCUUGAGCUCUUAGUGGCGCAGCUAACGCAUUAAGUUGACCGCCUGGGGAGUACGGCCGCAAGGUUAAAAGC
This 557-nucleotide ribosomal RNA is filed under the name uncultured bacterium. RNAcentral's name for it is "partial 16S ribosomal RNA". It matches the Rfam family "Bacterial small subunit ribosomal RNA", at positions 355 to 901 of the family's 1533-position model. The record is from RNAcentral.